Molecule: ribosomal RNA, 497 nt
Filed under: uncultured bacterium
Lineage: Bacteria
Description: partial 16S ribosomal RNA
Rfam family: Bacterial small subunit ribosomal RNA
Source: RNAcentral
GAUGAACGCUGGCGGCGUGCCUAACACAUGCAAGUCGAGCGGACGGACGAUGCUUUUGCUUGGCUGAUGUGGGGGGCGGGGGGGUGAGGCACAUGAGUAUACCUUCCCUAUAGGACUGAUAUCACUACGAGAGAGCGGAUAUAACACCGGAGCAGAUGUUGAACCGCGGGGGUCAUAGGAGAAAUACGGCUUUGCUGUCACUAAUAGGGGGUUCCCAGCUGGUUUAGCUAGUCGGUAAGGUAACGGCGUACCAAGGCAACGAUGCGUAGCCGAACUGAGAGGGUGAUCGCCCACACUGGAACUGAGACACGGUCCAGACUCCUACGGGAGGCAGCAGUAGGGAAUGUUCGGCAAUGGGCGAGAGCCUGACGCAGCGACGCCGCGUGUGUGAUGAAGGUCUUCGGAUCGUAAAGCUCUGUUAUUAGGGAAGAACCGAUGUGGACGUAAACGUAGCCAUAUUGACGGUAACGAAUAAAAAAGCACCGGCUAACUACGUG